This 253-nucleotide ribosomal RNA is filed under the name uncultured bacterium. Its description in RNAcentral is "partial 16S ribosomal RNA". It matches the Rfam family "Bacterial small subunit ribosomal RNA", at positions 524 to 776 of the family's 1533-position model. The record is from RNAcentral.
UACAGAGGUCUCAAGCGUUGUUCGGAUUCAUUGGGCGUAAAGGGUGCGUAGGUGGUGCUGUAAGUCAGGUGUGAAAUCCCGGGGCUCAACCCCGGAACUGCACUUGAUACUGCAGUGCUCGAGGACUGGAGAGGAGAUCGGAAUUCAUGGUGUAGCAGUGAAAUGCGUAGAUAUCAUGAGGAAGACCAGUGGCGAAGGCGGAUCUCUGGACAGUUCCUGACGCUGAGGCACGAAGGCCAGGGGAGCAAACGGG